AUCCUUAUCAAUUUUUUUGUGCUUUUUUUUAACUUAAUUUUUUAGAAGUGUGAAAAAUUUGAGUUAAGAUCAAUGGUUUAUUCAUUAGUUAUUGAGGUUUAAAUCUAUUAUAGGAAUUAUUAGGAUUUGGUUUAAGGUUUGGUUAAGAUUUGAUUUGGAGUUUAGGAUUUGGAUUAGGGUUUGAUUUAGGAUUUAGGAUUUGAUUUAGGAUUUAGGAUUUGAUUAAGGUUUUGUUUAGGAUUUGGUUAGGAUUUUAUUUAGGAUUUAGGAUUUGGUUAAGAUUUGAUUUAGGAUUUAGGGUUUGGUUAGGAAUUGAUUUAGGAUUUAGAGUUUGGAUUAGGAUUUAGUUUAGGAUUUAAGAUUUGGUUAGGGUUUGGUUUAGGGUUUAGGAUUUGGAUUAGGAUUUAGUUUAGGAUUUAAGAUUUGGUUAGGGUUUGGUUUAGGGUUUAGGAUUUGGAUUAGGAUUUAGUUUAGGGUUUGGUUAAGAUUUGAUUUAGGGUUUAGGAUUUGGUUAGAGUUUGAUUUAAGAUUUAGAGUUUGGAUUAGGAUUUGGUUUAGGGUUUAGGAUUUGGAUUAGGAUUUGGUUAGGGUUUGAUUUAGGAUUUAGGAUUUGAUUUAGGAUUUGGUUAGGAUUUGGUUUAGGAUUUGGUUGAGAUUUGGUUUAAGGUUUGUUUAGGAUUUGAUUUUGGAUUUAGGAUUUUAUUAGAAUUUAAGAUUCAAUUAGUUUUGGCCUAAAGUUUGAAUGAAGUUCAAUAGGAUUUUAACUAGAAUUAAAUUAAGAUUGAAUUGAAAUGUAUUUGAGUGAUAUUUGUGUUCUUUCUAAUGUUUCCUUAAGAAUUCUUAUUGUUUGUUUGAAAUUUCUUUGAGGUUUUUUUUUAAUUUGAUUAAGCUUGCUUAGCAUUAUUAUAGUCUAAUUAGAGCAUUGUUAACAUUCUAUUAGAAUUAGGAUUUUGUUAUUGCAAUUUUCAUUCUUCCUUCCACAGCUAGGUGCCCGAAGCAUUCUCAAGCCAGACUUCACGUAUUAUGACAUAUUUGGUGAACGCGACGUAAAACGCUUGAGGUGGAAGGAAUUUGGUUUAUUUUUUGAAUUAUUUGAAUUUUGGAGAAGGAAUUCAAGGAGAAAGGAAGGAGAAAUUUUUUAUGGUGCUUCAAGUGGAGUUGGAAGUGGUGCUUCAAGUGGAGUUGGAAGUGGUGCUUCAAGUAGAGUUGGAAGAGGAACUUCGAUUGGAGGACAAGGUAUGCAUUUUGAUCCUAACUUUGCAAGCGUGGUUUGUUAAAGUAAAUAGAGGAUAAGUUAGAAGAUAAAAGAUAUUAUCUUAGAUAAGUUGCUAAUGGUCAAAAGGCAGCAAAAAGAUGAAAGAAAGUUAUCAAGGUGUCAGCUAGGGUUUUAAGUGGCGGCUAGGGUUUAGUUAGAUGAAAGUAAGUUGAAUACUAGCCAAAAUGGAUGUACUACUACCUAUAAGUAAAAGGUGUUGGAAGUGAGAGGUAUUUCAUUCCACACUUCUCUCGUGUCUAACCUUGCUGAUUUCUACUUACUUGUGUCUUGCUUAUUGUAUUUAUUCAAUAGAUUAUGGGCCCAUUUACACUUUGUUGUGCCAUUCAAGUAGGUUGAAGUCAUUUGCUGGUUGUUGUUCUUGUGUGGAAUAGAUCUUAUGGUGUUUACUGAUGUUAGAGAUUCUAUGAUCUAAUCUGGUGUUUUGACAUGUGGAGGUUCUGAUUUGGAUCUUAUAGAUCUCUUAUAUUAGUUUGAAGGUUCUUAACACCUAAGAUUGAGUGAUUAAGACCUUAUACAAAGACCUUGAUGGUGUCUUUGAUUUUGUGGUGAGAAAGUGAGUUUUAUGAGUGAAAGUAUUUGAUGGUGAGGUUGAUUGGAGCUCAUAUACUUGUAAGAAGCUUCAAAAGUUGAUUUGGGAGUGUUUGGAGUGAAGAAACAUUCAUUUGUUCACAAGAGGGCAUUCUGAGAUUUUGCUAGUACAAAAUUGUUUUAGUGAUUUUAAGCACAUAGAGACUCUUUUUCUUGAUAUUUUUUGAUAGACCUCUUUUAAGACAUGGCUUCAAGUGAGGGUGAAGGUUUGAGAGUAAUUGAGAAGUUUAGAGGUGACAAUUUCUACCAUUGGAAGGUCAAAAUGGAACUUUUAUUGGUGUCUUUGAACCUUUGGAAUAUUGUAGAUGAAAGUGAAGAGCCUCCGAGCAUGCAUGCUGAUGCUAAAGAAAAGAAGGACUUUACAAGAUGAGAAAAGAAGGCUUUUGGCAUGAUUGCCACUAAUUUGGAUGAAGCCAACUUUUCUCACAUCAUCUCUUACAAAGGACCAAUAGAAGCAUGGAAGACUCUUUGCAACAUAUAUGAGAGCAAGAACUUGUCUAAUAUCAUCUUCACAAGGAAGAAAUUCUUCACUUGCAAGAUGGAAGAAGGUGAAGACCUCAUGACUCAUAUCAACAAGAUAAAAGUCCUUGCUAAUCAACUUGCUAUUGUUGACAAGCCUUUAGAAGAGAGUGAUAUUGUCAUGACCUUGCUUAUGAGUCUUCUCGAGUCCUACAACUACCUCAUUGUGGCAUUGAAAUCCAUCAAAGUAAAAGAACUCACAAUGGAUUAUGUGACGGCAAGACUUACCCAUGAAGUGACCAAGAGGAAAGAAAAAGAGCCCCAAAGUGAAGAUUCGGCUCUGUUUUCAAGGCAAAGCAAGGGGAGUCAUCCUAACCAACGUGGCAAUGUGAGAACUUGCUUCAUUUGUAGAAAACUAGGUCACUUUGGUCGAAAUUGCUACAAGUCUAAAAAAAAGAGAUAGAGAAAGUACAAACAAUGCUCAUGAUGAAUAAAGAGGUGAUGAUUAUGCAUUCAUGGCAAGUGAAGGCACUUUCAUGGCUGCCAUGUCCAAAUGGAUCAUUGAUUCUAAUGCCACCAAGCACAUGACUCUAUACAAGUGUUCAUUUAACACGUAUGAAGAGAUUUCAAUAGUAAAUAUCCUCAUGGGAGACAAUGGCAUAAUAUAAGCUAUUAGAAUGGACUCCAUUGUUAUAGAGAUUGUUGUGAAAGGCCAAACCAAGAGGAUCAAAUUGAAGGACGUCUUACAUGUGCCAAAGAUGAAAAAAAACCUCCUCUCGAUGAGUAAACUUAUUUCACAUGGUUGUAAAGUGUAAUUUGAUAUUAAUGGAUAUUUUGUGAAGACAUCGAAAAGAGAUCAUAUUACAAAGGGCUUUAGAGAUGGCAACCUCUACUUCAUCAACUGUAAGAAGGUGAAUAGAGUUGAAGUGGCGGCAUUUGCUGAAUUUCCUCAAGAUCAAGACAAGUUUGGCAUUUGGCAUCGAUGCCUUGGUCAUUUGAAUGCGAAGAGCAUGAAGGAGCUCCAAUCCAUGGUAAGUGGCUUAGAUCUUGGUCAUAUAAGCCACAAUGCUAUGACACUUGCUUGUGAAGGUUGUAUUCAAGGCAAACAAUAAAAGGCCUCAUUUCCAAGUGGAGUUGCAACACAUGCAACCAAGUUAUUAGAGAUUGACCAUUUUGAUGUUUGUGGACCUAUGAGGAUGCUAUCAAUAGGAGGUACAAGAUAUUUUGUCACAUUCAUUGAUGACUUUUCAAGGAAAGUAUGGAUUUUCAUCCUCAAAGCAAAGAAUGAGUGUUUUACAAGGUUUAAGGAGUUUAAGGCACUUGUGGAGAAGCAAUGUGAAUGCAAAAUCAAGGUAUUGCAUACAGACAAUGGAGAUGAGUAUAUGUCAAAGCAAUUCAAUGAUUUCUUAAUGUUACAUAGUAUUGCAAGAUAAACCUCCACUCCUUACACUCCACAACAAAAUGGAGUUGCUGAAAGAAUAAAUUCGACUAUUGUGGAGAUGGCAAGGAGUAUGCUUCAUGCACAACACCUUCGACAUGAGUUUUGGGCGGAAGCAGUGGUGAAUCCAAUAUACAUAAGAAAUAGGUGUCCUACAAGUGCACUUACAUCAAUGAUGCUGGAAGAAGCUUAGAGUGGGAGAAAACCUUGUAUUUCUCACAUAAGGACCUUUGGAUGUAUAGCAUAUGCAAAGAUACUAGAUUGUAUGAGAUCAAAAUUUGAUGCAAAAGGUAUAAAAUAUGUGUUUGUUGGAUAUUAUGAAGGUACAAAGGCUUAUAGGCUCAUGUGCUUGGAGACUAAAAAGAUCAUCAAAUAUUGUGAGGUGUAAAGUAAGAUUGAUUGCCAAAGGCUACUCACAAGUUGUUGGUGUUGAUUUCAAUGAGACAUUUUUUCCCAUAGCCAAAUUCACCACCAUUAGAACUAUUGUGGCAAUUGGGGCAGCAAUGGACUUGGAGAUGUACCAAAUGGAUGUGAAGAUAGCUUUCUUGAAUGGAGAAUUGGAAGAAGACAUCUACAUGGAUCAACCUCAAGGAUUUUUUGAAGAAGACAAAUAACACCUUUUGUGUAAGUUUAAGAAAUCUUUGUAUGGGCUGAAGUAAUCAUCAAGGGCAUGGUACCAACGUAUCGAUACCUUCUUUGUGAAUGAAGGAUUUGUGAGGAGUGAGGCUGAUCAUUCCAUGUAUGUGAUGCAAUCAAAAGCCUUCUUGCUAAUUGUUAUUCUUUAUGUUGAUGAUUUGAUCAUUUUGACCAAUUCUUUGAAAAAGAUGGAUUGAUUGAAGGCAAAGUUAGCAAAAGAAUUUGAAAUGAGUGAUUUGGGAGAGCUCCACUAUUGCUUAGGAGUGGAAUUUGUGAGAGAUCAAGCUAAGAAGAUCAUUACAUUGAGCUAAAAGAAGUACAUUGAAGAAGUAUUGAAACAGUUCAACAUAGAGGAGUGCAAGUCCAUUGAAACACCUUUGGAGGUAAAUUUGAAGUUGAUGAAGCUCACGGAUGAGGAAUUUACUGAAGUUGAAGAAGAAAUGAAAGAUGUUCUAUACAAGGCAGUAGUAGGCUCACUUAUGUAUGCAAUGGUUGAUACAAGGGUGGAUCUUGCAUAUGCGGUGAGUGUUGUGAGUCAACACAUGUCAAAGGCUGGACCAAUUCAUUAGGCAACCAUUAAGAGGAUCUUGAGGUACUUAAAAGGCACUUUGAACUUCAAAUUGUAUCUUGGAGGUGAUAGUGUUACAUUGCAUGGAUAUUCUGAUGCAGAUUGGACUAGAGAUGCAAAUGAUAGAAGAUCAAGAAUAGGAUAUGUAUUUUUUGUUGGAGUGGGAGCAAUUCCAUGGAAUUGUAAGAGACAACCAAUAAUUACAAGGUCUACAAUAGAGGCGGAAUAUAUGGCAGCAAAUCAUGGUACAAUGGAGGCAAUAUAGCUAAGACAAGUUUUAGAAGACAUUGGACUUGCGCAAUUGGAAGGAACUCCAAUGAAAUGUGACAAUCAAGAAUAUCUUGGUUUUGCCAAGAAUCCAAAUCAUCAUUCAAGGACAAAGCACAUUAACAUUCAACAUCACUUCAUACGAGAGAAGAUUAAGAUGGGAGUAAUUGACAUAAAAUAUUGUGCAAAAGAAGAUAUGCUUGCAGAUUUACUCACAAAAGAAUUGGUAAAGGAUAGACAUUACAAAUUGAAAAAGGGAUUAGGUUUAUUCACCUUUGAUCAAUAGCAAAGUAAAAGUGUUAAAGUAAAUGGAGGAUAAGUUAGAAGAUAAAAGAUAUUAUCUUAGAUAAGUUGCUAAUGGUCAAAGGGCAGCAAAAAGAUGAAGAAAAGUUAUCAAGGUGGCGGCUAGUAUUAUAGGUGGCAGUUAGGGUUUAAAGUGGCGACUAGGUUAAGAGGAUUCUACGGUUUAAUUGGAUGAAAGUAAGAUGAAUAUUAGCCAAAAUAGAUUUAAUCUCUACCUAUAAGUAAAGGGUGCUAGAAGUGAGAGGUAUCUCAUUCCACACUUCUCUUGUGUCUAACCUUGCUGAUUUCUACUUACUUGUAUCUUGCUUAUUGUAUUUCUUCAAUAUGUUUGAAGCUUUGGCCUUAUUCAUGCAACAGAUUAAAGAUCGCAAAGAGAGUAUGGCUAAUAAAGCAUUACAAGUGGUUGUGGACAAGAUCGAUCAAUUUGAAGGAAAGGAUAUUAUGAAAUAUUUAAGAUGUUAUGUAAAGGAAAUAGAAUUGAAGCGUAUUUUAGAAAGGGAGAUGGUUCAAUUAUUUCAAUUAGCCUCUGCACGAGAGAUAAGAAAUCAAGUAAAGACUCUUAUAGAAUAUUUUGGUUCAUGGGAGAAAUUUUCUCAAUCAUUGAAGGAUGAGUUUUUCUUGGAAGAUAGUGAUAGGAUUACAAAAUAGUCUUUUUUUGAAUGGAUUGAAAGGCUAGAGAAGGAUCUUCUAGCAACAAAAUUGUUAAAGGAGUUUGAAAAGUAAUAUUUUUUUUUAUCAAAGAAAGAAAGACAAUUAUUGGAUCCAAGUAAAGUGGAGCUCUUUCUUCAAGUAGCUGAUGGAAAGUCACAAGAGAACUUAGAAAUCAUGCUUGAAGAUAAAGAAGAAGAUGAAGGAUUGACAACAAAUUAGAAAAGAGUAGAGGAGGUUGUGAGGUUGUUGACAAAAAGAGAAAGGACAAAAGAUAUGAGGGGUGAUCAAAGACCAUUACAAGCAUCUAAGGUAAAGGUAUCUAGUAUCCAUCCGACAUCUUUGAUUCAACCUUCAAUGGCUACAUCAAAGAAAAAAAAAAUGGAAAUUGAUGAAAUCAUACGUGGGAUAAGAGAUUUACAAAUAAAAUUUACAAAACUUGAAGAGAAGGGUCAAUCAUGAAGAAUAUCAACAAAACAAAGACCAAGACCAAUGGAGGGUGUAGUACAUAGGUGUAUGUAGUGUGAUAGCAUAGAUCACUCAAAGAGGGAAUGUGAAGAUUUUACAGAGGCAUUAUGUAAAAGAGUUGUUUUUUUUAAAGAUGGUAUGAUACUGUCAAAAGAAAGUAGAGAAAAAUUAAAAAAAAAUUUUGGUAAAAGAAGAAUGAAGUUAUUUGUUGGAGAUACUUUUAAAGUGCAUACAAUCUCAAGCAAUGAAGCAUCAAUAUAUUAAAUAGAAGCAGAUCCUAGUAGAUGUUUAAGUAUAAAUCUUGAGUUUCCAGGAGAAUCUAAUUCUUUAUGGAUAAGUGCAAUGAGUUAUGCUAAAAGGAGAAAUUUUACUAGAGAUGAUUUAAAACAUAUUGGUAAUAAUAUUCGACAAAUUACUGGGUGGGAUGAUCCAAUAGAUAGAUUAUCUGUACAUGUUCAUAUUACAAGGAAUUAGUAUGAAGCAUUAAUAGAAGAAAAAGGAAGGAGAGAUGAAAAUAAUGAAGGGCCCUCAAAAAGAACUACAAGGGAAAAAAAAAGCAUGACAAUAAAAGAAUCCUAUUCAUAAAGAGACAAUAGAGAACAUUUCUACAAAAGGAAGGGAACUUAAAAAAGAAAAAGGAAAGGCUCCUGCUUAUAAAUUAUAAUCAGAUAUUGAAGCUGUUAUAGAUUUGAAGAAGGUAUUGGAGGAGCAGAUUUUAAGUGGAAAGGUUGAAUUCACAAUUGGUAAAAUUCUAGGAAUUACAAAGCGUGAGUUUCAUGAAGUUAUUAUUGAUACAAUAAAGAGAAAAUGAUAAUCUAUAGGAGACUCUAUGACAUCAAAUGCACAAAGAACAAGAGCAAUAGAAAGAAAUGAAGAUGAAGAAUAGAAAUAUAAAAUUAUGGGGAUGUCUUGCGAGUAAGAUUUUAGAAAAAGAAGAUAUCAUUCAAGCUUCUAGCCAUUAUUCUAGAAGUCAUUGAGCAAAGGCUAUGACGGAGACUUUAAUAAAAUUGGAAAAUUUAGAAGAACCAGCUGUAGCAUUGAUUGAUAAUGGUUCUGAAAUCAAUUUGAUGUCAAAAGAAUUGUAUAACAAGGAAAAAUAGCCUAUUGAUACUGGGUGGAUGAUAAGAGCUGCAAAUAAUUCAAAGAGAGAUUUGUAUGGAGCAUGUCAAAAUAUCAAGGUGACAAUAGGAGGUGUUAUUCAUGAACAGAAUUUCUUUCUGCAAGGCAUGUCUACAUAUCCAAUUAUAUUGGGACAACCAUAUAUUAUUUCCACACGAAUGGAAACAAAAGUAAUAGAUGAUGGUUCAGCCUAUGCAAGAAUAAGAAGCCAAGAUGGGAUGAAAGCAGUUCAAUUUUUAACUGUUUGUACUAAUCAUGAGAGAAAUUGUGAUAAGUUGAGAGAGAAGCUAUUAUCAAAUGAGAAAUUUGAAGACCUUGAGGAUUUUUACCACACACCAUUGUAAGGUGGGGUUGCAAUAGAUUAGAGACAAAAAAAGCUCCCACUUAAUUUAGAAGAAGAAAUAUUAUCUACCGGACUUAUGGGGAUGACAUAAGAUUGUGUAUUGACUUUUAAGACUAUUGAUAAGAUGAAAAGGAGGGACAAAUGUUAUAUUAAAAAUAUUGAGCGAAACUUGAAAGAAAAUGGAUAAUUGGUUGAAAAUGAAUUUAUUUCGGGAACAUAUGAAGAAGUAGGUUUUGUAGAUAUUAUGGGAGAAUUAAAUUAUCUAUUACAAUGUAGGUUACAAGUAGAGAAUAGAGUUAUUAAUGUGUGUUCUAAAUAAUUUUAUGAUAAAAUUCAAGGAUUUAUGGAAAAUUUAAGUUGCAAAGAGGUAUAUGUUGAAACUAAGUAUAAGUCAGUAGCAAGAAAGGUCAAACCAGUGGCUUUGCCACUACCAUCUAAUUAUGAAGAAGAGAUAAGUGGAGCAUUGACACAACCAAAUUUAAGAGAUCCAAAGAAGAUAGGGCAUAAAUUUAUGGAUGUUAUAUUAGAUGGAUUAAAUAUUGGAUGUGAUGGAUUUUUGACAAAAUGUGAAGAAAAAUAUUUUAGAGAUAUGCUUUCAUGUCAUGGAAAGACUUUUACAUUUGAUGCACAUGAAAUUAGGUGUGUUGAUCUAAUUAUUGUAGCACCCAUGGUUAUUUUUAUUAUUCCUCAUGAACCAUGGAAUUUGCGACCAAUUCCAGCACCAAGAGCACAUUUAUCUAAGUUAGUAGAUUUAUUCAAUGAAAAGAUUAAAAUGAGAAUUUCGGAACCAUCUAUAGCACCUUAUUCUAAUUGAUGGUUUAUAGUACUAAAGAAAAAUGGAACAAUGAGAUUUAUACAAGAUAUGCAAUCCGUAAAUAAAGUGACUAUUAGAAAUAUGGGUUCAAGUCCAAUUGUGAAUGAAUUUGUAGAAGCAUUUGUUGGAAGAGCUAUCUAUUCAAUGGCUGAUCUUUAUUCAAGUUAUGAUCAAUUUCAAUUGGCAAUACAAAGUAGAGAUUUGAUAACUAUGAAGACACCAUUAGGAUUAGUUAGAAUGUGCACAUUACUACAAGGGGCUACAAAUUCUGUAUCACAUAUGAUGAAUGGAAUGCAUAAGGUAUUAAGAGAGUUUAUUCUAAGAAUAACAAUGCCUUUUUUGGAUGAUGUACCUAUUAAGGGAUGUGAAGAAGAAGGAAAAGAUGAAACUUUGGAUUCAAAGGGAUGUAGGAAGUUUGUGGCAGAUCAUAUUGAAGAUUGUGAGAAGAUUUUGAAAAGAUUGGAAGAAGUUCAUUUAAUCUUAUCGAGGGCAAAAUCAAUGUUUGGAGUAAAAGAAAUUUUGGUGGUAGGACACAUGUGUGAUUCAUAUGGAUGUAAGCCAAGUAUAGAAAAGAUUGAUAUUAUUAAAAAGAUGAAAGAAUAUACAAAUAUAACGAAAGUGAGAAGAUUUUUAGGAGCAUGUAUUUUCUAUCAUAUAUGGAUACCUCACUUUGCACAUAUAAUAGAUCUAUUGUAUGAGUUGUUAAGAAAGAAUCAAAAAUUUCAAUGGAAAGAAGAACAACAAAAAGCUAUAGAAAAAUUGAAAGAAUUUCUUUCUUCAUCUCCAACUUUGAAGAAAGUAAAUUAUGAAGGUAGAAGGCCAAUGGUAUUAACAGUUGAUGCAAGUCCAAUUCAAAUAGGUUGGGUGGUUGGACAAGAUGAUGAAUAUGGGAAUAUAUAUGUAAUAAGAUUUGGAACAAAGAUAUUGAAUUCUAGGCAAAGGGCAUAUGUGCAAAUCAAAAGAGAAUUAUGGGGUGUAGUAAUAGCUAUGAAAAAUGAAAAAAAUACUUGAUUGGUGCAUCAGUAGUUAUAGAAAUAGAUUGUCUACCUUUGUUAGGCAUGAUUACAAGUUGUUCAACUCCUGAUAUUGCUAUGUUGAGGUGGAUAGCAUAUAUCAAAUUUAUGAAUCUAAAAUUUAAACAUAUUAUAGGAAAAGAAAAUUCAACUACAAAUAUGUUAUCAAGAGUAAGGUAUAAUGAUGAAAAAAAGAUGAUUGAUUUAGAAGAUGAUGUGGGUACAAAUUUUUAUACUAAUGCGUUAUCAAAGGAGAAGGGUGUAUGUUUUAAUAUACCAUUAGAAAUAUUUUUAAGAGAUUUAUAUAAAAAUGAAUAGAAAGAUGUUGGAGAGUAUUUGAGUACAUUAAAGCGACAAAAGAGUUGGACAAAUCAAGAAUUUAAGAAAAUCCGUAAGAAAGCCUAUGGAUAUUUUUUACAUGAUAGAUAUUUAUGGAAGCAUCUAAAAAAGAGAGAAGAAGUACCACAAAAAGUGAUAUGUGGUUUAAAAGCUCAACAAAGGAUUAUUAAAGAAUUUCAUGAAAAUUUAUGGGUAGAGCAUUGAGGUAUUUGGAAAACAUUCACUAAGUUAAGAGAAAAAUAUUGGUGGAAGGGAAUGUACAAAGACAUAGCAAAAUUUGUAGAAUCUUGUGAGACUUGCUAAGUGUAUUCAAAUAUUCGGCAUCGAGAUGGAUUACAUCUAACAUACCCUUUAGCUUUAUAUUACAAGUAGGUGGUGGAUUUAGUGACAAUGCCUAUGGGACUUGGACAAAUGAAGUAUUUGGUACUUGCACGAGAAGAUUUAUCAUAUAUGGUUGAAGGACGAGCAUUAAAAACAAAGGAUACUAAAAGAGUAUGUCGAUUUCUAUUAGAAGAAGUUAUUUGUUGCUAUAGUUGUAUUAGAAAAAUUACGAUGGAUAGGAGUGAAUUGGAUGCAAAGGAAGCACGAAAAUUCUUUAGUAGAAGAGGAAUUAAACUUUCUUUAACAACAACAUAUAACCCAAAAAAUAAUGAUAAAAGUGAGUGUGGACAUUCACCUAUUGUUAAGUGUAGAAUAGAUAUUAAUUUGUUUUUGAAAGAUAUUGGUAAAAUAUAUUAAUAGUCCAUAUAAUAGGAAAUUCAGGAGGACGGAUGAGUGAUUUAGUUCUUAAAAGUGGUUAACUAUAGAAUUACGGUUAAAAUCUGGAGAAUCAAGGGAAAGUAUAUAGGAGUUGUAGAAGUUAAUUAAGGUGCCAAACUGUGAGAGUCGUAAGCCGAGGGCCAGACUGUGAGAGUCAUAAGCCGAGGGCUAAACUGUAAUAGUCAUGAGCCGAGGGCCAUCAUUGUGAUAGUCAUGAGCCGAGGGCCAUCACUAUGAUAGUUGUGAGCCAGGAUAAGCUUGGUGCUACCUCUUUUCUUUUGUUUGUUAUUUUCUUUUAAUAAGAGAAUUGAGAGUUUCUAAAUAUUGUGAAGUGAAUUAUGGAAUGGAAAUGUGAUUGGUAUUAUUUGAGAAGAAGAAAGAUUGAAUGCUGAAAUCUGAUUAUAGUUCAGUAGAGAGAAUGAGUCUGUGUUUGUGUGAAACACCGUAAUGUGAAUGGCAGUUCUGUGUGAAGAAUUCCAAUGAUUGGAAUGAGGAUAAUUGUGUGCUGAAAGUUGUGAGGGCACAGUAUUAUAAUUGAAGAUUAUGAGGGUGAAUAUAUUGGUAGAAAUAGCAGUUAUUGGUAUGGCUGAAUUGCUGUAAGGAAGAGAUCGAUAAGGUGAAGGAAGAGAUUAUAGUUUCCUUGUGUGUUCAGAUAUUAGAAAUAGAGACGAUACAUUGAGGAGGUAAUUGAUUAUGUGACCCUAAUGUGAACGCUUAAGCAACUAGUCAUUCCUCGUAUUCAAAUCUCCCUAUACGGAUUUAUUCUGGGAGGUUUCUUUUGGAAUAAGUAAAACGAGCAAUCACAUUUUGGCGUCACUGCUAAGGAGUGAUAAUAGCUUUGAGUGUUAAGAAUUAAUUACCAAACGUGUGAGAAAAUUAGCAAUGGAAGACGAUUUCAGUAAUAUUUGAAGAAAAAGUAUGAUUAUUAAGAAUGAGAAUUUAAUAGCAAAGAGAAUAAAGCAAUCAAAAGAAAGAAUAGAGAGAUCGCAAGCAAGAAAUUUGUUACGUGAUGAGCAAGAUCGUAAAUUAAAAAAGAAGCAUCGACAAAGUUGGAUUAAGCCAUGGUUCCAUGCUUGUCGACAUAUUCGAUUGUACCUAGAAGACGAUCGACCUCUAAUACUUCAGAAGUACAUACCAUUAAAAAAAUUACUAAGAGCACUCGCGGGGAGUAUUGCUAAUAGUCUAGCAUACCUCUCGAAGCUAUUAACGAAAAGCAAGGAAAGCACAGAGGAAUUAGGUAGCCCAUUGGAUAUUUUUCCAAUUGGAGAUACGUCCAAUUCUAACAAGACUUGUUUUGAAGAUCGGCAUAAAUUACUUGCCAAUAAAGACUAAUUUAGAGUAUAUCAAAAUCUGUUGUUUUCACUUCAUAUUCAACCAGUAAAAUUAUUUGGAAAUAAUAAUAGUCAAUUGGGAAGGCCUGGAAGUCCAAAAAAGACUUUUGUGGGAGAUAAUUUUUAUUUUAAUAAGAAAUUGAACAGAACAUUGGCAUCUUUAAUGGCAUCUGGAGGAUCAGCAGUUCCGAUUGCAGUUCAAAUGGGUGCAGUAGGCGAUCGUACAACUAGUGUCAAGCCACUACCUAUUUUUUGGGGAUUUCUGGGUACGGAUCUAGAUUAACAUUUGUCUCAAUUCUUGACGACGUGUGUAGCUAAUAAUGAUAGAACUGAAGAUAUUUGGUUAAGAUGGCUGCCAACGACAUUAAAAGAUACGGCAUUUGAAUGGUACAACUGCCAACUAAUGGAUCAAUUUCCGAAUUGGAAAGCAUUGAAGAAUACAUUUUUAGCCCAUUCUCGACCAAUUGGUUUUGAAGAACAUCUUAGAGAAAAAUUAAUGAACAGCAGAAUAGUACCAGGGGAAGCGGUACAGUCAUAUUAUGGUCACGUAGCAGAUAUACUUCGAAAAUGGCCAAAUAACCAAAUGUCAAAAUCGUUUGUGUUGUCCAUAUUGGUUAAUGGACUACACCCACCAGAAUUGAAGAUGUUUGUAAAGGAGACCCAAUCAGUCACCAUUACAUCAUCUCUUGAGCAAAUGAGAGUAUGGGAGGAAUGUCACUAUGACCAAAACUUAACAGUUGGAGCCACAAUGAUUCUAUCUCAAGGAGGUUAUCAAAUGACAAAUUGGAAUGAUGCAUCGGAAGGUUAUCUGGGAAGGAAUAAUUAUGGUACAAUUCCACAUGGAAUCAUAGAUGUCGUUCCAUUGCAGGCUGUACCACCAUCAUCAUCACACCCGUAUGUGCCUUAUUCCGCAUAUCAAAAAUCAACACCUACAAAAGAAUUGCCAAAUGCAUUGGUAUCAAGGGAUCCCAAUGAGUCAUUGCUGUUAACAUUGACGAAAAAAAUGGAUGAAUUGGCUGUGAAUCUGGCCAAGGAUAAAGAAAAGAAGUAUAAAUCAAGUAAUAUGCAUCCCAAUGUCUAGUGCAGCAAUUGUAAGGGACAAGGUCAUUUUGUAACAGAAUAUCCUUCACCACCCUAAAUGAUUGUACAAUGUACCUUUUACGGGGGCAAGCAUAUUACCACCAACUGUUGGAAUUUACGGAAGCAACAACAACUCAGUAAUGAGAUAAUGAGUCAAUCAACUUUGUGGAAUGUCAAUCAAAUACAAACAAAUAAUAGGUUUGGUUGGAAUAGAAAUCGAGCGAAUAAACAAAAUAGGAAUUAUUCUAAUUUCUUAAACUCUAAAUUUUACCAAGAAGGUUUAUCCAAUACUCACGGAUUGGCGAUGAACCAACCAAGAUACCAUCAAUAUCUACCCAUGAUGAAGCCAAUGCUAGAGUCUAUAAUAACAAUGGAUCAAUCAAGAUCCUUUAUUCAUCCUACAUGAAACAAGCCUAAUAGGUAUAUACCGGUGGAGGCACCCAAUAAGCCUGAUGGAGGUGCAAGGAGACCACUUCGUUGCUAUUGUUGCAGACAAAUAAGUUAUUAUGCCAAUGAAUGUCCUAAUCCAAGGGCCACUGAUGAUUAUGCUCCACUAUGUAGAAAUUGUAAGCAGUCUGGUUACACUUAUCAGCAAUGCAAUGUGCCCUUUAAUUAUAAUAACUAGGACCAGUAAAUGCAAAUAAGCCAACUAGCAGAGGACAAAGGCCUUAUUCAACAAGACGCACCAGAACAUCAAGUCGAGGUGGUGAACGCAGUACUUACGAGAUGCUAACAAAAAGACAAGAAUCCAAUUCAAGACAUGGAUGAACCAAUCAUAGGAGAGCAAGUAGCACCGUCCACAGGGCUAAACGAACCAAUAUCAAUAUUAGGACAUAUUCUAAUAUUAAGACCUCAACAGACUGAAGAAUCUAAUUCGAUUUCACAUGCCAAUUUACUGGGACCAUCCAAUCCAGGUCCUGUUAUGGGCUUUGUACCUAGUAUGAGACCUAACUCGAUGGUACAACCCAAUGAGGUCCCAAUUAUGGAGGCUUCGGUUCCGUUCCAAGCAGUUCCAAUCUCUACGCAAUUCUGAGAAACGUCCUAUCCAUUGAAAGAUCCUCUCGAGGGCGGAAAUUUCAAGGAAGCCCCGGCUGCUGUUCCAAUUCCGAGUCCAGGGUGGAAGAAUAUCUUAUCUCACGAAGUUAAACUCAAACCAAUAAAACACAAAAGAGCAUUAGAAAUUACUCUCAAUAUGGAAUCCUAUGACAUUCUGAAGAAUUUGGAUGUUAUUCAGCCUUCAAUUACAAUGAAGCAACUUUUGGCUGUAGCAUCGAAAUGUUGAUCUAUAUUGAAUUUAGUGCUAAUACAACAAAGAUCCCGCACUAAAGAAAUUUAUGAAGUUAUCUUAAACCCAGAUCUGGGUGCACCAACAAUCGAUGUAACAAUCGAUGGCAUUUUAAUUCCAGGGGUACAAGUCGAUGGUGGCUCCAAUAUGAAUUUAAUGAACGUGGAUACAAUGAAGUACUUGGAUCUAAAGCAAUUACUACCUACGACAUUGGUCUUACGAAUGACAGAUCAUAGUCGGAUAAAGUCAAUGGAAAUCUUACGUAAUAUUGCUACUGUAAUCGUAGGAUUUACAUACAAAAUCAAUUAUAUUGUAUUCCAAUUAUAGAAUUCUAUGUUAUUGUAUCCCAUUUUAUUGGGCAGACCUUGGCUUUAUUAAGCCAAAGCUAAGAAUGAUUAGGACCGAGGCACAUUGACAAUUGGAAAAGGCCGUGAUCAGAUUGUUUUACAGAUGUAUCCCGUACAAUAUCAUGGAGAAUCUCAAUUGCCAAAAUCAGAAUUUACAUCGGACAACGAGAGUCAAUUGAUUGAGGCAAAUAACGAUCCUAUAGGUUCAUCGCAAUUUGGGGUAGGACAAAACACUUCAACAGCAAAAGCAGGAUUCUACCAAUGUGGAGGUCUCGACAAAUAUUUACUGCAUCAGGAGAAUGCGACUAACUCAUAUCAUGCUAUUGCCGAAUAGAUGAACAAUUCUGCAAUCAAUAGAGUCAGCACAUUAGAACCAAAUUUGGGUGGUUUCCAUAUGUCGAAUAAUACAAGAUAUUCAAAUCAAGAGAAGACAAUUAAAUCAGAGGUUGUUGAAGACCUUGUGUAUCAAUCUAUUAACUUGGGAACCAACGAAAUGCCACAGCUAAUUAAAAUAUAUGCCAGUAUUAUAAGUACAGAAUUGGAUGCUUGGAAAUAGUUUUUUGUCAAUCACAAAUCUGUCUUUGUAUGGUCGUAUGCGGAUUUGAAAGGGAUUCCGGUUGAUGUAUAUGAGCACCAGAUUAUUUUGGAGGAGGGUAUUACACCAAUUCGUCAAAGUCAACAUCGCCUUAAUCCUAAAUAUUUCCUCAUGGUGAAUGAGGAAUUGGAUGAACUUCUCGACGUGGAUUUUAUUUAUCCUGUUCCGCAUAAUACAUGGAUGUCGCCAAUCGUGAUAAUACCGAAGAAGAAUGGAAAAAUCCAAAUAUGUCAAGAUUUUUGAAAGUUAAAUGUGGCCACUAAGAAAGAUUACUUUUUAUUACCUUUCACGGACAGUAUGGGUAACAUGUUGUCAUUAUCACCAGGUAGUAAAAGAAUAGGAGUGGGGCACCAAUUAAAGUCAUUCUGUGGUAUUGUUUUGAUUUGGCUGGAGUGCCAUUUUCUUGUAUUUCUUGUGUUUUCAAGAGUAGUAGUUUCAAUUAAGAGUUAACAGUGAGGAGCCAAUCACAAGUGUCAAUUGAAGAUAUUCCAGAAUGGAUGAAUCAACAGCAAUAACAAUUGGAACUUCGAGAUGUCCAAAUCUUGAAAUUGGAUGUUCAAGUCCGUGUAUUGGGUGAGUAUAAUGAAGAUCUAUCAAACCAGUUGAGGAAGGGGUCGAUGGACUGGAGGAAGAAGAAGAAGAUGUGCAAUUGGAACCAGAUUUGGUCAAACCUACAUUCGAUAAUGCAACAAUUGAUUAAUUAGAUAGGCAAGAGGGAUCACAAUUUUUGUGGAGAUUUGUUAGAUAAUUUUUAGAUAGGUAUCAAUUGAGUGUUUGCGAGGACGCUGUAUAGAUAGGAGUGGGGCUAUGUAGAAUAGAUAUUAAUUUAUUUUUGAAAGAUAUUGGUAAAAUAUAUUAAUAGUCCAUAUAAUAGGAAAUUCAGGAGGACGGAUGAGUAUUUUAGUUCUUAAAAGCAGUUAAUUAUAGAAUUAUGGUUAGAAUUUGGAGAAUCAAAGAAAAGUAUAUAGGAGUUGUAGAAGUUAAUUAAGGUGCUAAACUGUGAGAGUCGUAAGCCGAGGGCUAAACUGUAAUAGUCAUGAGUCGAGGGCCAUCACUAAAAUAAUUGUAAGCCGGAAUAAGCUUGGUGCUACCUCUUUUCUUUUGUUUGUUAUUUUCUUUUAAUAAGAAGAUUGAGAGUUUCUAAAUAUUGUGAAGUAAAUUAUGGAAUGGAAAUGUGAUUGUUAUUAUUUGAGAAGAAGAAAGAUUGAAUGCUGAAAUCUAAUUGUAGUUGAGCAGAGAGAAUGAGUCUAUAUUUGUGUGAAACAUCGUAAUGUGAAUGGCAGUUCUGUGUGAAGAAUUCCAAUGAUUGGAAUGAGGAUAAUUGUGUGCUGAAAGUUGUGAGAGCGCAGUAUUACACUUGGAGAUUAUGAGGGUGAAUAUAUUGGUGGAAAUAGCAGUUAUUGGUAUGACUGAAUUACUGUAAGGAAGAGAUCGAUAAGGUGAAGGAGGAGAUUAUAGUUUCCUUGUAUAUUCAGAUAUUAGAAAUAGAGAUGAUACAUUGAGGAGGUAAUUGAUUGUGUGACCCUAACGUGAACGCUUAAGUGACUAGUCAUUCCCCGUGUUCGAAUCUCUCUAUACAGAUUUAUUCUGGGAGGUUUCUUCUGGAAUAAGUAAAACGAGCAAUCACAUUAAGGCAUUAGUAAAGGCAUGCAAUGGCAAAGCACAUGAAUGGCCUAGACUACUACCAUUUGCACUAUGGAUAGAUCGUACAAUUCAUAGUUUGGUAACAGAUUAUAUGCCUUUUGAAUUAAUAUAUGGACAAAAAUCAGUAAUGCGAAUAGAAGAUGUAGUACCUACAUGGGGUGUAUUGCCUUAGAAGAAUGAUCUCAACAGAGAAGAACUUUUAACAUUACGGAUUCAACAACUAGAAAAAAGAUCCAAUGAUAUUGAAACAGUAAUAGAAAAAUUGUAAGAAGCAAGGUGACUUUUAGAAAGGUGACUUCUACUUACUUUGUAGCACCAUAAGUAAGGCAAAUCAAAGUAGAUUAGAAAAAUAAAUGAUAUAGGCAUCUUUAAGAAGAAAUUAAGAGUAAAUUCUAGAAAAAAUUACUUAGAAAAACUAGAUAUUUAUACCCAGAGAGAGCCGGUUAUGAACCAGGAUCGAAAUCAAAUCCUAGGGCACAAAACCAAGUCUCGACAACGACUCUGGAGCUCUUUUGGAAAUCGAAGAAUGAGGUUUGAUAGCAGACUAAAUGAUCUUUCUAUGAGCAUUGAUUUUGGGUGAUUUGGAGUUGAUAUGACUUUGUAAGAGCUUUACAAAGUCAAAGUUUGUUUCGGAUGACUUAGAUUUUAUGAAAUAAAAUAGGGUUUACGUUUUGAGUGAUUUCAAGAGUUUUGUAAUAGAUCUAUGGAUGAAAUUUUGUGGGUUUAUGGUUAUAGUUGUAUUUGAUAUGUAUCAUAAAUUUUAGCUUGAUUUAAAGAUUGAAUUGAGGAAUAUUGAGGUUUAAGUGGGUCAAGGUCUCAGAAAGUAGAAUUUUAGAUCUAGUAGGGGUUUUUGAGAUUUCUUGCAAUCUAUUAAUUGAAUUGGAGUGAAACUUAUGUGAGAGGAUAUAAGACUUAUUUUUCUAUGUGUAUAAAAAUUUUAAGAUCAAUCGAAUAGUGCAAAAGAGAGAUAUUGGCUCUAGAAGAUUGGCAUUAAGAUUGGAGAAGGAGGUCGGCCAAUAUCCAAGCACAUUUUUGAGGUUAUCGUCAAUUUGGUAAAUUCGAUCCUUAUCAAUUUUUUUGUGCUUGUUUUUAACUUAAUUUUUUAGAAGUGUGAAAAUUUUGAGUUAAGAUCAACAGUUUAUUCAUUAGUUAUUGAGGUUUAAAUCUAUUGUUGGAAUUAUUAGAAUUUGGUUUAGAGUUUGGUUAGGAUUUGAUUUGGAGUUUAGGGUUUGAAUUAGGGUUUGAUUUAAGAUUUAGGAUUUGAUUAGGGUUUUGUUUAGGGUUUGGUUAGGAUUCGAUUUAGGAUUUAGGAUUUGGUUAUGGUUUGAUUUAGGAUUUAGAGUUUGGAUUAGGGUUUGAUUUAGGAUUUAGGAUUUGGAUUUGGGUUUGAUUUAGGAUUUAGGAUUUGGUUUAGAGUUUGGUUUGGAUUUGGUUUAGGAUUUUGUUGGGAUUUGAUUUAAGAUUUGUUUAGGGUUUGAUUUUGGAUUUAGGAUUUUAUUAGGAUUUAAGAUUCAAUUAUUUUUGACCUAAAGUUUGAAUGAAGUUCAAUAGGAUUUUAACUAGAAUUAAAUUAAGAUUGAAUUGAGAUGUAUUUGAGUGAUAUUUGUGUUCUUUCUAAUGUUUCUUUAAGAUUUCUUAUUGUUUGUUUGAAAUUUCUUUGAGGUUUUUUUGAAUUUGAUUAAGCUUUUUUAGCAUUAUUAUAGUCUAAU
RNAcentral lists this long non-coding RNA (19029 nucleotides) under Physcomitrium patens. Its description in RNAcentral is "long non-coding RNA (PPAT_LNC001323)". The record is from RNAcentral. Lineage: Eukaryota; Viridiplantae; Streptophyta; Bryopsida; Funariales; Funariaceae.